GCGUGUCAGCCUCAUAGACUCUUAUUACUUUGACCAUAUUUUUAUCUUCCAUCUCUAUUUUGCCAAUUUGUUUAUGCAACAUAAAAUAAUAUAUAUCUUUUGUUCAAUCCAUGUCAAUAUCUAUUUUAUUUUUUACAUUAUUUGAAUAAAACAUUCAAAAACAUGAACAUUAUAAAAAUAUAAAAAAUAAAUUUAGGAUUUAAAGUACAAAAUAAAAACCCUGGCAAUAACUUACUCUCCCGCGAACUCGCAGUACCAUCAGCGAAUAAGAGCUUAAAUGGUACUGCCAGUGCGCGUCAAAGAACGUUAGCCGCCAGGGCUUUUAUGUUGCACUUUAAAUCCUAAAUUUAUUUUUUAUAUUUUUAUAAUGUUCAUGUUUUUGAAUGUUUUAUUCAAAUAAUGUUAAAAAUAAAAUAGAUAUUGACAUGGAUUGAACAAAAGAUUUUUUUUAUUUUACGUUGCAUAAACAAAUUGGCAUGGGGGGGAUGGAAAAUAAAAAUCUGGUCCGCGUACUCAGAGUCUAUGGCGAACGCCCCCGAACUUUAACGCGAACAA
RNAcentral lists this unclassified non-coding RNA (555 nucleotides) under Borreliella valaisiana. RNAcentral's name for it is "partial 5S-23S ribosomal RNA intergenic spacer". The record is from RNAcentral. Lineage: Bacteria; Pseudomonadati; Spirochaetota; Spirochaetia; Spirochaetales; Borreliaceae.